RNAcentral lists this ribosomal RNA (253 nucleotides) under uncultured bacterium. RNAcentral describes it as "partial 16S ribosomal RNA". It matches the Rfam family "Bacterial small subunit ribosomal RNA", at positions 524 to 776 of the family's 1533-position model. The record is from RNAcentral.
UACGAAGGGGGCUAGCGUUGCUCGGAAUUACUGGGCGUAAAGGGCGCGUAGGCGGCUUGGUCAGUCAGGCGUGAAAUUCCUGGGCUCAACCUGGGGACUGCGCUUGAUACGGCCAGGCUUGAGGGCGAGAGAGGGUGGUGGAAUUCCCAGUGUAGAGGUGAAAUUCGUAGAUAUUGGGAAGAACACCGGUGGCGAAGGCGACCACCUGGCUCGGUACUGACGCUGAGGCGCGACAGCGUGGGGAGCAAACAGG